Molecule: long non-coding RNA, 1421 nt
Organism: Homo sapiens (human)
Lineage: Eukaryota; Metazoa; Chordata; Mammalia; Primates; Hominidae
Exons: 2
Source: RefSeq, a predicted model, not a curated record
GAAGGAACUCCUCAUACGGGAACAGCAGGUGCUCGAUUUGGGGUGUGGUUAUAACCUUUACUUCCCUUCCUACUAGUGCCUUGCUUUGCCUACUCCAACCCCGUCCAGGAACCGAGCAGCCCCCACCCGCCUCGGAGGAAUCGAUGGAGCACCUUUGAGUGCGCGAGUUGCCGCUCUCCGGGUACGGGGCCCGGAGCGUUAGCCUCCCGCGAGUAUCGGUGAGCGGCUGCCGAACUGCCAUGGGCGCCAGGCCGCUGGGGCGUGCCGCAGCCGCAAGAACCCGCAAGGGACCCCGCGCCCGCACCGGUCCCGGCCUCCUGGCUCCCUGCCGCUCCACACAGCAGCGAGAGCAGCAGCAGCAAGAGGACGAGACCCAGCUCAGGGCAACGUCCACACACCAGCCCUAGUGCGGGCGCAGCCAUGUUGUCCCGCGGGCCAUGUGACCCGGUUGGUCACGUGGCUGAGCCCUCCUUAAAGGGGCAGAAUUUUGAGCUGACUUACGAAGUGACCAGGAGAGUUGCUCUUCACCUUUCUUCAGGUACUUCUUUGGCGCUGCUGCUUGCCUGUGCUAACGUCAAAACGCAGCAAAACACAAAACUCCACAAAACUCAAGGCCUUCCACAGACCGUGCACCCCUUUAUGAUUUCUUGGUUGAAAAAUAACAGUCAAAUUUGCUGGGCAUUUGCAUAAAGAAAAGACCAGCCAGGCACCGUGUCUCAAGCCUGUAAUCCCAGCACUUUAGGAGGCCGAGGCAGGAGAAUCGCUAGAGGCCAGGAGCUUGAGACCAGCCUGGGCAACACAGCAAGACCUUGUCUCUACAAAAAAUUAAGAAAAUUAACUGGCCAUGGUGACGCACACCGGUGGUCCUGGCUACUUCGGAGGCUGAGGCAGGAGGAUCACUUGAGCCUGGUAGGCAGAGGCUGCAGUGAGCCAUGAUUGUGCCACUGCACUCCAGCCUGGGUGACAAAGUGAGACCAUCUCUCAAAAAAAAAAAAAAGGCCUUUUCUCCUUGUUGACUAUUUUACAGUUUGCCAAGGCCUUUCACACAUUUUCUCAUUUGAGAUUACAACCACUUGGCAAGAAAUGUAUUAUUACUAUACUCAUUUCAAAAUUGAUGAAGCUAAAAGGUCAAUGCCUUAACCAAGGUUGUAUGUAUUUACUGUGCAUAAUAUAUAGUCAAGGUCUAGGUCAACGGUAAUCUUUGUUCGCCUCCUUCAAAUAUCAGUCUCAGCACAUGCUGUGUCAGCUGCGCUUCAGAGACCUGAACUUCUUUGAUUCCUGGUCCAGCUAUACCAUUAGGCUAUAACCUCCAUGAAGGUAAGGCAGGAGCCUAUUCGUUUGCCACUGUAUCAGCAAAAUCAGGCCAAGCCUGCACAUGAUCACUCAGUGAACAUUUAUUAAAUUAUGGAUAAGUGAAUGAA